This is a long non-coding RNA of Rhinichthys klamathensis goyatoka, 345 nucleotides long. RefSeq lists it as uncharacterized. Lineage: Eukaryota; Metazoa; Chordata; Actinopteri; Cypriniformes; Leuciscidae. The transcript has 3 exons. The record is from RefSeq and is a predicted model, not a curated record.
CUGUCGGGACAAAUGGCCGAACAGAACUCGUGGUGGAGCACGAACUAUGAGACAUUGAGCUUUACACGGCACUUCCCGAGGGUCAGGCUAUGAAGACAAACACCCCAGCAGGAGGAAAUCCUACCUUGUCACCCACCACAGCAUGGCUCAGGAUUGUUAUGCUAGAGUCAUUUAAAACUCACAAAGAAAAGAGAAAAUACCCCUGCUGUAGAUAGCACAGAAGAGAGCUGUCUCCAUUCAUCUCCAUCAACGGUUACAGUGAUAAUGGACUCUCAGAGAACAAGAUAGCUUCAUUCCAUGGGCAGUGGUACAGUCUUGCAGUGCAUGCAAUAUAAGAAAGCUGGA